UACGGGGGGGGCAAGCGUUGUUCGGAAUUACUGGGCGUAAAGGGCGCGUAGGCGGUUUGCUAAGUUGAAUGUGAAAACUCUGGGCUUAACCCAGAGCCUGCAUUCAAUACUGGCAGGCUAGAGUUCUGGAGGGGAUAGCGGAAUUCCUGGUGUAGCGGUGGAAUGCGUAGAGAUCGGGAAGAACAUCGGUGGCGAAGGCGGCCAGCUGGGCCAUUGCUGACGCUGAGGCGCGACAGCGUGGGGAGCAAACGGG
RNAcentral lists this ribosomal RNA (253 nucleotides) under uncultured bacterium. RNAcentral describes it as "partial 16S ribosomal RNA". It matches the Rfam family "Bacterial small subunit ribosomal RNA", at positions 524 to 776 of the family's 1533-position model. The record is from RNAcentral.